UAUCNUGGUAAAACUCAAAGUAAAUUCAAUCAAAUUGGUUUUGCUUUGGACUUGGAGGCCUUGCAGGUUUCACGUCUGCUCCUCUUAAAUGCAUUAGCUGGAUCUCAGUAUUAUACUUGGUUCCACUCGGCGUGAUAAGUAUCACUCGCUGAGGACACUGUAAAAAAGUGGCCAGGAAAAUACCGAUCGAACCGCUUCUAACGGUCUAUUAAGUUAGACAAUUUACCCCAAGGUUUGACCUCAAAUCAGGUAGGACUACCCGCUGAACUUAAGCAUAUCAAUAAGCGGAGGAAAAGAAACUAACAAGGAUUCCCCUAGUAACGGCGAGUGAAGCGGGAAGAGCUCAAAUUUAAAAUCUGGCGGUGUAUUCCGUCCGAGUUGUAGCCUAGAGAAGCAUCAUCCGCGCUGGACCAUGUACAAGUCUCUUGGAACAGAGCGUCAUAGAGGGUGAGAAUCCCGUCCUUGACAUGGACUCCCAGUGCUUUGUGUUGUGCUCUCGACGAGUCGAGUUGUUUGGGAAUGCAGCUCAAAAUGGGUGGUAAAUUCCAUCUAAAGCUAAAUAUUGGCGAGAGACCGAUAGCGAACAAGUACCGUGAGGGAAAGAUGAAAAGCACUUUGGAGAGAGAGUUAAACAGUACGUGAAAUUGUUGAAAUGGAAACGCUUGAAGUCAGUCGCGUUCUCUGGGAUUCAGCCUUGCUUCUGCUUGGUGCAUUUCCCAGUCUACGGGCCAGCAUGAAUCUUGACCGGUGGAAAAAGGUUUGGGGAAUGUAGCACCNCUGGGUGUGUUAUAGCCCCUUGCUGUAUACACUGGUUGGGAUUGAGG
This 824-nucleotide ribosomal RNA is filed under the name fungal sp. Its description in RNAcentral is "eukaryotic LSU rRNA". The stretch from base 236 to 824 matches the Rfam family "Eukaryotic large subunit ribosomal RNA", at positions 1 to 591 of the family's 3401-position model. The record is from RNAcentral. Lineage: Eukaryota; Fungi.